RNAcentral lists this ribosomal RNA (429 nucleotides) under Bacillota bacterium. Its description in RNAcentral is "Firmicutes bacterium partial 16S ribosomal RNA". It matches the Rfam family "Bacterial small subunit ribosomal RNA", at positions 355 to 776 of the family's 1533-position model. Lineage: Bacteria; Bacillati; Bacillota. The record is from RNAcentral.
UGGGGAAUUUUGGACAAUGGGGGCAACCCUGAUCCAGCAAUGCCGCGUGUGUGAAGAAGGCCUUCGGGUUGUAAAGCACUUUUGUCCGGGAAGAAAUCGCACCUGAUAAUACCGGGUGUGGAUGACGGUACGGGAAGAAUAAGGACCGGCUAACUACGUGCCAGCAGCCGCGGUAAUACGUAGGGUCCAAGCGUUAAUCGGAAUUACUGGGCGUAAAGCGUGCGCAGGCGGUUGUGCAAGACCGAUGUGAAAUCCCCGGGCUUAACCUGGGAAUUGCAUUGGUGACUGCACGGCUAGAGUGUGUCAGAGGGGGGUAGAAUUCCACGUGUAGCAGUGAAAUGCGUAGAGAUGUGGAGGAAUACCGAUGGCGAAGGCAGCCCCCUGGGAUAACACUGACGCUCAUGCACGAAAGCGUGGGGAGCAAACAGG